RNAcentral lists this unclassified non-coding RNA (221 nucleotides) under Hevea brasiliensis (rubber tree). The record is from RNAcentral. Lineage: Eukaryota; Viridiplantae; Streptophyta; Magnoliopsida; Malpighiales; Euphorbiaceae.
GAGAGAGAGAGAGAGAGAAGAGGAAGAAGGAGAGAAAAUAGAGAAAGAAAUUGAGUACAGAGUGUUAACGCAUGAGGAGAGAGAAAGAGUGACAAAUUGGGAGGUGAGAGUAUUUUUGAUUAAUGAAAAUUCAACAUGACCUCGAGGUCACAAGUUCAAGCCACGGAAACAGCCUAUCUACGGAGUAAGGGUAAGGUUGCAUACAUCAACCCUCCCUAGAG